GACUGAGUGGCGGACGGGUGAGUAACGCGUGGGUAACCUGCCUCAUACAGGGGGAUAACAGUUAGAAAUGACUGCUAAUACCGCAUAAGACCACAGGAUUGCAUGAUCCGGUGGUAAAAACUCCGGUGGUAUGAGAUGGACCCGCGUCUGAUUAGGUAGUUGGUGGGGUAACGGCUCACCAMGCCGACGAUCAGUAGCCGACCUGAGAGGGUGACCGGCCACAUUGGGACUGAGACACGGCCCAAACUCSUACGGGAGGCAGCRGUGGGGAAUAUUGCACAAUGGGGGAAACCCUGAUGCAGCGACGCCGCGUGAGCGAUGAAGUAUUUCGGUAUGUAAAGCUCUAUCAGCAGGGAAGAAAAUGACGGUACCUGACUAAGAAGCACCGGCUAAAUACGUGCCAGCAGCCGCGGUAAUACGUAUGGUGCAAGCGUUAUCCGGAUUUACUGGGUGUAAAGGGAGCGUAGACGGAGAGGCAAGUCUGAUGUGAAAACCCGGGGCUCAACCCCGGGACUGCAUUGGAAACUGUUUUUCUAGAGUGUCGGAGAGGUAAGUGGAAUUCCUAGUGUAGCGGUGAAAUGCGUAGAUAUUAGGAGGAACACCAGUGGCGAAGGCGGCUUACUGGACGAUGACUGACGUUGAGGCUCGAAAGCGUGGGGAGCAAACAGGAUUAGAUACCCUGGUAGUCCACGCCGUAAACGAUGACUGCUAGGUGUCGGGAGGCAAAGCCUUUCGGUGCCGCAGCAAACGCAAUAAGCAGUCCACCUGGGGASUACGUUCGCAGGAAUGAACUCGAAGGAAUUGACGGGGACCCGCACAACCGGUGGAGCAUGUGGUUUAAUUC
This 844-nucleotide ribosomal RNA is filed under the name uncultured Bacillota bacterium. Its description in RNAcentral is "bacterial SSU rRNA". It matches the Rfam family "Bacterial small subunit ribosomal RNA", at positions 89 to 952 of the family's 1533-position model. Lineage: Bacteria; Bacillati; Bacillota. The record is from RNAcentral.